Molecule: ribosomal RNA, 407 nt
Filed under: uncultured bacterium
Lineage: Bacteria
Description: partial 16S ribosomal RNA
Rfam family: Bacterial small subunit ribosomal RNA
Source: RNAcentral
GACGAACGCUGGCGGCGGGCCUAAUACAUGCAAGUAGAACGCAGUUUCGAACGGGUGAGUAACACGUAGGUAACUGCCUCAUAGCGGGGGAUAACUAUUGGAAACGAUAGCUAAUACCGCAUACGGGGAGAUGGACCUGCGUUGUGUUAGCUAGUUGGUGAGGUGAAGGCGCACCAAGGCGACGGUACAUAGCCGACCUGAGAGGGUGAACGGGCGACAUGGGAACUAGGGACCGGCCAAAGUCCCUCGGAAGGCAGCAAGAGGGAAUUUUUGGCGAUGGGCGGAAGUCUGACCGAGCAACGCCGCGUGAGAGAAGAAUGUUUUCGGAUCGUAAAGCUCUGUUCUUAGGGGAGCGGUAACUACCCAAAAAGGGCCGGCUAACUACGUGCCAGCAGCCGCGGUAAUAC